Molecule: long non-coding RNA, 282 nt
Organism: Perca flavescens (yellow perch)
Lineage: Eukaryota; Metazoa; Chordata; Actinopteri; Perciformes; Percidae
Exons: 3
Source: RefSeq, a predicted model, not a curated record
UGUGUGUGUGUGUAUUCCCUGUUUAGUUUCCUUUGGACUUCCCCAGUUUGUGUAGCAGUUAGUUUCAGCAGGAUUUAGAUUUGGAGAAGGUCUCUAAUGAUGGAUAUCUGUUUUAUUUUACUGUCCUCCGUCUGGAGCUCCAGCUGAAGAGAAAUGAUUCAGAGGACGUAAAGCUGAGACAGACUGAGCACGCUCAGUUGCUGCUUCACCUGCCCCACCUCACACAGCUGACAGACAGGAUCACAUGGAGCAGAGGCCUGGACUACAAAGCAGGAUUUGGCG